RNAcentral lists this long non-coding RNA (2491 nucleotides) under Cotesia glomerata. RNAcentral's name for it is "uncharacterized LOC123264302, transcript variant X1". The record is from RNAcentral. Lineage: Eukaryota; Metazoa; Arthropoda; Insecta; Hymenoptera; Braconidae.
GGUAUACCCAAUUAUAAAGAGCAACAGGUAAUAAACUUAUUUGAUCGCUGUCAGAAACUCGGUCCCGGAGCCUGCUGGGUUCAGUCAAAGUUAUUGUCUCGUAAAAAGUGAUUAAUAAAAAGAGAAUUAAUAAGUCUCGGGAGGACAAGAGAGUGGUUGAUGCUGGAGGGUGUCGAGCACGUGUAAGCCUAUACUACCUGAGAGCCAAACUCACCUUUGCGCGUAUAGUACGGGUGUGGUAUUUUUUUUCCCGUCGUUCCCGAGACCUACUUUUGGAUCCGCUGAUCCGAGUGCCGCUCCUCUUGUUGGUUGUUGGUUGUUGGUUGCUGGGAAGCCAAAGCCAAAGCCAAAGCCUCUAUAUAGAUACAUAUAUCAAAUUGUAUACAUAUACACCCAAGUAAAGUAUGAAGAGCGCAGAAAGGACCAUGCACAACUCCCUUGUACCUGCUCCGCGAAACGUGUUGGUAUCUUCGUGGUCUUUAGUCUUGCCUUUUUUUAUUAACUUCUAUCUCUUUCUUGGCCUGCUGACGUUCUGACUAUAAUUGAUUGCACACGCGCGCACUACACCCUGUACUCCAAGGUCCAUUUAUUUAUUGCUAUCUAAGUGCAUCAUCAGUGUCCACGGUGAGUACAUCUUUUCCCCACUUUUCUUGCAAAUAUAUGUACAUAUAUGAAGAUUUUUGUAUGUACCUAUACACUGUAUAUUCUUUUUUCUUAUCUUCAGCUCACGGGACUUGCGGGUUCUCUGGUUCUCUUGCGUUCGAGCUACUUUGCUCCAAGAUUCUGGACAUUAUAUUAUUAUGCCUGAUAUUAUUCUCCAAUAAAAUUUCAAUUAAAAAAAUUUAAUACUAAACAAAGAAAAGAGACUGAUUAUCAGCUUUAUCAUCUUCAACCUCUACUUUUUCCGUAGACUUGCCGCAAAAAAAGGGGUUUUUUUUUGUUACCAUCGUUGAUAAAAAAAGUUCUCGCAGAUGCUUCGACGAAAUUUCCAGUUACUUCUGGACAAACCAGCUGGUGCUUAAAUUUUAUUUUGAAAAUUGUUUUAAUGAAAACUGGAAAGUUGUUGCUAAAAAUUCUAAGCGAUAAAUAGUAAUGCAAGAUAUUACAGUCAUUAUAAUUUUUUAGGUUUGGUUGACAGUUUUGGGUGGAUAAAAGAAAAAACGCAGAGAAGGAAGGAGGAUAAUUUUCAUUACCGCAAAGAUAAAAUAAAAGGAAGAAUGAAAUAAAAAUGGUCAUCAUUAGGUUUUAAUGCAAAUGACAUUGGGUUUUUAAGUGCCGAGGAUGCUGAGAUGCCUCUGGGGAAUUAUAUCAUGCAAAUGAUCCCAGAAUGAUAUGAAAUUCAGGCUAACAGGUCAUCCAGCCACAUCCAUGCGUGUUUAUCUAACUUAAGAUACUUAUUUAUGAAUUUUUAUUGUCUUCUUUAUUUUAUUUACAUUCUUCCAAAGUAUCGAUUUAAAAACUGUGCCAACAAGAAAUUAAAAAUAAAAUACAGUUUGCAGUUGAUGAUGCAGUUUAAUGAGUCAACUCUAUUUUUAAUUGAUUCCGCUGCAAUAUCUUUAUUUAUUUCUAUUUGAAUUUAAUCUCUUUUAACGGUACUUCAUGGUAUUCCUGGUAAUGUUGCCACCGGAUGGUAUUGUCAUUGUUACAGUACCGAUCUCAGAUCCUUGGGAUCCUCAAGUUAAGUGGAAGAAGUAGACCAGAAAUAAAUAAAAAUGAACAUAAGUUUAAAAAAAAAAAAUCUUUCUAUGAUGCUAACUGUUCUUUCGACUUCGUAGGGAACCUUUACGAAAUUUUUUUUUUGUUGAAACUAAUUGGGAUAUUCGAAACUUUUGGGGUCCUGAGGAAUUUUAAUAUCUACUGUUCUGGAUUAGUAUGUCAACCUUUAUUAUUGUUAUUGAUUUUAAAUCAAAAUACGAUUUUACUUCAGCUACUGGAAACUCAGCCGACCUUCAAAAUUAUCUAACGGUCAAUGACACGAAAAUUUUUUAUUAUGCUUUAAAAAUCUUGGAAUUUUCGGUAUUUUCAUGAGCAUCAAUAAAAUUUAAAACUUCUCAAGAUUUUUUCUCUUCAUUCCAAUGCAAUUGGAAAAUAUAUGCCUGUAAAUCAAAAUGAAGAAAAUAGGGUAUAAAAAAUUUAUUUUCUAUUGAUCAGAUUGAUCUAUGGAUCUGAUGUAAAUACAAAGGCUUACUCAUAUACUUCUAAAAAAAAAAAAGAAGAAAUACGUCAUAUAUCAAUUCAGUAAACCUCUAUUAAUAUAACACUAUCUGACAGUUAAAACUGAUUGGUCCAGACAACAUAAAUUCCAUCGGAUGGACCCAAGUGACCCUAAUAUAAGUCGAUGCCUAUUCGAAUGCCGCUAUCCCCCAGACGUAAAUAUAUAUAUUUAUCCAUCCAUCCAUCCACAUAUAUAGAUGAAAUACAACCCGUGUAAACAAUCCAGGAUUCGAUUGAAAAUCCUAAGGUAAGUUUUUACCUAAAAUAAAACUAGCCU